UACGGAGGGAGCUAGCGUUAUUCGGAAUUACUGGGCGUAAAGCGCACGUAGGCGGCUUUGUAAGUUAGAGGUGAAAGCCCGGGGCUCAACCCCGGAAUUGCCUUUAAGACUGCAUCGCUUGAAUCCAGGAGAGGUGAGUGGAAUUCCGAGUGUAGAGGUGAAAUUCGUAGAUAUUCGGAAGAACACCAGUGGCGAAGGCGGCUCACUGGACUGGUAUUGACGCUGAGGUGCGAAAGCGUGGGGAGCAAACAGG
RNAcentral lists this ribosomal RNA (253 nucleotides) under uncultured bacterium. RNAcentral's name for it is "partial 16S ribosomal RNA". It matches the Rfam family "Bacterial small subunit ribosomal RNA", at positions 524 to 776 of the family's 1533-position model. The record is from RNAcentral.